AGCUUCGUGAUCCAGCGGUGAAGGAUACUUGCCUCUCACUCCGGAGUCCAGGGUUCAAACCCCGGUCAAGAAGCUG
Non-coding RNA from Rhamnusium bicolor, 76 nucleotides. Lineage: Eukaryota; Metazoa; Arthropoda; Insecta; Coleoptera; Cerambycidae. The record is from the annotation of a GenBank genome assembly.